Molecule: long non-coding RNA, 1371 nt
Organism: Labrus bergylta (ballan wrasse)
Lineage: Eukaryota; Metazoa; Chordata; Actinopteri; Labriformes; Labridae
Source: RefSeq, a predicted model, not a curated record
UAGCUACAGUAUAUUAUUUUCGUAAUGUUGUCAUCUCUAACAAAAUUCAGAGUUUGUGUUGUGAUUUGGUAAAGCAGGAUUUUUACAGACAACAUCUCUGUGCUCUCCAAAGUAUGAUUCAUCUUUUAAAGAGUAUAAAGUGAUAACUUUGUAGAUUCUCGUCUUCAAAUAAUGUUUAGAUGGAGGUUAUUUCUAUGUUUUUCUGGGUUGGGUUGAAAAGAAUGGCUUUGAAAGUUCAACGUUAAUGUGAGAGGUUGACCAAAAGUGCUGAGAAGAAACUCCCACAGUAUAAACAGACAAGGGAAGCAGAAGUGCGGGAAAGUAGACAAUUUCACCUCCUCAACAACAGAGAGUAUUUUUUAAGUAUUCUCAUUUUAAGAUUACCAUCAUCAUCAUGGGAGCAAAGGGAAAUCUGAUUGCAGGACUCAAAAAGGAGUUAGAAAAACGUCCAGUUGUGUCGAACUUGAUUUUUGGCUUCAUCAUGACCGGCGUGGAGAAGAUGUUGGAGGUGGAUUUUGCUUGCCCUUGUAAUCCCACUUGGAACGGUGCGUUUGUUGCCCCAUUUUUCCUUCUUCCUGCCUGCACAGCUUCUUCACUCAUGCUGCUGAUUCACGGCUGCAGUGGGUAUGAGAGUGUUUUGUGUAGCUUUCUCCCUCCCAUUGUGUGGCUGGCUCUGAUGUUCCUGGAUGGACAAUACCUGGUCUGUGCAAUGACAGGCUGGCCAGGCACGUUUGUUACUGCCCAAAAUACUUACCUGAAAUGGUGUAAACCGAUCAAUGCAGCAAACCAUGCAACAAUGCUGAAUCAAUCACACAGGUUCUACAUUCUUUCUCAGGGUUUCGGAAAUUGCAUCGUCGCAUUUUUACUCGUCGUACUGAUUGCAUAUAUGGUAUGCACAAGAGGCAAGAGGGAAAAAGAUGAGAAGAAUCCUGAAACCAUCUCCCUUAAAUAAUCACCAAAGACCCAAAAGAGACACAAAUGACAAAAUGUUUUGUUUUACUAUGUAAAUAUUGAAAUGAUAUUAAUAUGCUAUGAUAUAGAGCCCGGCCGAUUAAUCGGCCGAUAUUAGCGUAUUCAGUGACUAUCAGAAUUGGCUAAUGUUAUCGCAGAUAUGCGACAGUGUGUGUGUGUGUGUGUGUGUGUGUAGGGAUGUAAUAAAUUACAUUCAUUACGUUCAUAAUUUACAUUAUUCUACUUAUCUACGCUUUCAAAUGUUCAUUUUCUAAGAAAGAAAUAACAUUGUAAUUGAUUUUUGCUUUGAUACUUUUGAUUUUUUAAAUAUGAUGUCUGUGUCUCAAAAUAAUGUGUUUGAUCAUAUAGUGUAAUGUGUAAACUUCCAUUAAAAAUAAAAUAAAAUAUUAACUGCUCUAA